Molecule: ribosomal RNA, 502 nt
Filed under: uncultured bacterium
Lineage: Bacteria
Description: partial 16S ribosomal RNA
Rfam family: Bacterial small subunit ribosomal RNA
Source: RNAcentral
AUUGAACGCUGGCGGCAUGCCUUACACAUGCAAGUCGAACGGCAGCAUAGGAGCUUGCUCCUGAUGGCGAGUGGCGAACGGGUGAGUAAUAUAUCGGAACGUGCCCUGGAGUGGGGGAUAACUAGUCGAAAGACUAGCUAAUACCGCAUACGUUCUACGGAUGAAAGUGGGGGAUCGCAAGACCUCAUGCUCCUGGAGCGGCCGAUAUCUGAUUAGCUAGUUGGUGGGGUAAAAGCUCACCAAGGCGACGAUCAGUAGCUGGUCUGAGAGGACGACGAGCCAAACUGGGACUGAGACACGGCCCAGACUCCUACGGGAGGCAGCAGUGGGGAAUUUUGGACAAUGGGGGCAACCCUGAUCCAGCAAUGCCGCGUGAGUGAAGAAGGCCUUCGGGUUGUAAAGCUCUUUUGUCAGGGAAGAAACGGUUCUGGAUAAUACCUGGAGCUAAUGACGGUACCUGAAGAAUAAGCACCGGCUAACUACGUGCCAGCCGCCGCAGUAA